RNAcentral lists this ribosomal RNA (400 nucleotides) under uncultured bacterium. Its description in RNAcentral is "bacterial SSU rRNA". It matches the Rfam family "Bacterial small subunit ribosomal RNA", at positions 356 to 773 of the family's 1533-position model. The record is from RNAcentral.
GGGGAAUCUUAGACAAUGGGGGAAACCCUGAUCUAGCCAUGCCGCGUGAGCGAUGAAGGCCUUAGGGUUGUAAAGCUCUUUCAGCUGGGAAGAUAAUGACGGUACCAGCAGAAGAAGCCCCGGCUAACUCCGUGCCAGCAGCCGCGGUAAUACGGAGGGGGCUAGCGUUGUUCGGAAUUACUGGGCGUAAAGCGCACGUAGGCGGAUUAGUCAGUCAGAGGUGAAAUCCCAGGGCUCAACCCUGGAACUGCCUUUGAUACUGCUAGUCUUGAGGUCGAGAGAGGUGAGUGGAAUUCCGAGUGUAGAGGUGAAAUUCGUAGAUAUUCGGAGGAACACCAGUGGCGAAGGCGGCUCACUGGCUCGAUACUGACGCUGAGGUGCGAAAGCGUGGGGAGCAAAC